This is a long non-coding RNA of Pseudophryne corroboree (corroboree frog), 544 nucleotides long. RefSeq lists it as uncharacterized. The record is from RefSeq and is a predicted model, not a curated record. Lineage: Eukaryota; Metazoa; Chordata; Amphibia; Anura; Myobatrachidae. The transcript has 3 exons.
UCAGGUCAUAGAGGUGAAUGUAAAGCAAAGGACAGGUAAAGGUAACGUUGUAAGCUGUAUGAGAAAGUCUUUGCAAGAACAUUAUGGAGACAAACCUGUGGGAAUGGGAGGAACAUUUAUUACACAAGAUGGAAACGCAAAGCUCCAUAUAAUGAGAUGAGGAUGUGUAUCAUUGGUUGAACGUUUAUGAUAUGAAGGCUCGUCUGAUUUGCCAGUCCGUGUUUGUUUCUCAUGACCCUGGCUUUGACCUGCGGGUGAAACACACUCAUUGUUUCAGUCAUCAUGGAGAAAGAGGACACUACCAUAAUGACACAAUCCCAGAUUCUGUGCACUACUGUAUCUUGGCUAUUUCCAUCCGGCAGAGUAUCUAUACCGCAUUGACAAACCAUCUGUUACACACAUGGUUGGGUGAGAUUAGGUUGAGCUUCAUCUUUCCACAACCUUAAAAGAGAAAACAUAUCAUUAUAUAUAAUCAUUUUGGUAUGAAGUAAUAAAUAUGUAUUAAACCUAGGCAAGCUUUGGUGGGAUAUUACUAUGUAUUGAU